This is a long non-coding RNA of Leptidea sinapis, 261 nucleotides long. RefSeq lists it as uncharacterized. NCBI's taxonomy places the organism in Eukaryota, Metazoa, Arthropoda, Insecta, Lepidoptera, Pieridae. The transcript is spliced from 3 exons. The record is from RefSeq and is a predicted model, not a curated record.
CAGCUGAGGUGUGCGGUCGUGUGGCGUACUGAAUUCGCAUUGGUCGGGUUACGAUCACAACAUAUCCUAAUUGGUCAGGUAACGAUCACAACAUAUCCUGAUUGGUCAGGUAACGAUCACAAAAUAUCCUGAUUGGUCAGGUAACGAUCACAACAUAUCCUGAUUGGUCAGGUAACGAUCACAACAUAUCCUGAUUGGUCAGGUAACGAUCACAACAUAUCGUGAUUGGUUAAAAUCACAACAUUUCGGAAACAACUGCUG